Molecule: ribosomal RNA, 468 nt
Filed under: uncultured bacterium
Lineage: Bacteria
Description: bacterial SSU rRNA
Rfam family: Bacterial small subunit ribosomal RNA
Source: RNAcentral
UCACUCCUACGGGAGGCAGCAGUGGGGAAUAUUGCACAAUGGGGGAAACCCUGAUGCAGCCAUGCCGCGUGUGUGAAGAAGGCCUUCGGGUUGUAAAGCACUUUCAGUAGGGAGGAAGGUAGUGUAGUUAACACCUGCAUUAUUUGACGUUACCUACAGAAGAAGCACCGGCUAAUUCCGUGCCAGCAGCCGCGGUAAUACGGAGGGUGCGAGCGUUAAUCGGAAUUACUGGGCGUAAAGCGCAUGCAGGCGGCCUGUUAAGUCAGAUGUGAAAGCCCCGGGGCUUAACCUCGGAAUUGCAUUUGAAACUGGCAGGCUAGAGUCUUGUAGAGGGGGUAGAAUUUCAGGUGUAGCGGUGAAAUGCGUAGAGAUCUGAAGGAAUACCAGUGGCGAAGGCGGCCCCCUGGACAAAGACUGACGCUCAGAUGCGAAAGCGUGGGGAGCAAACAGGAUUAGAUACCCUGGUAG